GGGCCUGUUACAUUUAAUAUUUUAGGCCUUCCCAUGAGACAGGAAGAAAAGUCAUGCCCUUAUUAUUUGCGCACUGGAUCGUGUAAAUUUGGAGUUUCGUGCAAGUUCAAUCAUCCCCAGCCAUCACCAGUUGGAAAUAUGCUACCUCAAGCUAGGCCCGGUGCUUUGGGUUCUGGAGGCACUCCGUUCAUGCCUUCAUCUGGUGUGCCAUAUACUGGUGGAAUUCCUGCUUGGUCAUUGCCUAGAGUACAAUAUAUGCCUGGUCCAUGCGUACAAGGCCAACAAUCUUAUGUGCCUGUCUUGGUUUCUCCAUCACAGGGUGCCAUAGCUGCUCAAGACUGGAACACUUACGUGGGCAAUGUCAGUCCCAUUCUUCCCAAUCUUGGUUACAAUUCUGUCAAUUUGGAAGAGUCGUAUUCUAAUGGGCAGUUGGCCUUAUCAACAUCAACUCCAACGCUACCCGAUCGACCUGAUCAACCAGAAUGCCGUUAUUUUAUGAACAACGGCACCUGCAAGUAUGGAUCUGAUUGCAAAUUCCAUCAUCCAAAACAAAGAAUUGCACAAUCAGCAACUAAUGCGCUUGGACUUCCUUCAAGACCCGG
This 602-nucleotide unclassified non-coding RNA is filed under the name Hevea brasiliensis (rubber tree). Lineage: Eukaryota; Viridiplantae; Streptophyta; Magnoliopsida; Malpighiales; Euphorbiaceae. The record is from RNAcentral.